UUUUUUUUUUUUUUUUUUUUUGAGAUGGAGUCUCACUCUGUGGCCUAGGCUGGAGUGCAGUGGUGCGAUCUUCCCUGCAACCUCCACCCCCUGGGUUCAAGCAAUUCUCCUGCCUCAACCUCCCUAGUAGCUGGGAUUACAGGUGUGCACUACCACGCCUGGCUAAUUUUUGUAUUUUUAGUAGAGACAAGGUUUCUCCAUGUUGGCCAGGCUGGCCUCAAAUUCCUGACUUCAGGUGAUUCGCCACCUCGGCCUCCCAAAGUGCUGGAAUUACAGGUGUGAGCCACUGUGCCUGGCCUCCAUUACUUACUAUUAAGUCCAAGUAUGUGCACAGUUCUCUGUAGGCCAGUGCUGAGAAAUACCAAGUCAACGUUUUCAAAUCUCUUUUCAUCUGUUGCUUACUAAAACAAAUUUUUUACAUCAUUACCAUACUGGUGUUUAGAUGUCACACUAUUUUUGCAUUGGUGUAUUAUGUGGGGCCUGCUUCCUGAGCCACAGGGCAGUAUCGUAUCUCCAUCUUCUUUAUUGAUUCCUGUCAGCUUUAGGCAGAGUGGCCUUUGUGGACUUGGUACAGAAAAUAACAUUCUCAGGUCCAUGUGCUUGCACUCUGCAGCCAACUGGUAUCAGACCAUCUGGUCAAUCUAACAGCCUCUCUGCAUUCAGUUUGUCACCAUUUCUAUCUUCUAGUGUCAUCUGCAACAUGCGGCUAGUAAUGCCUACCUAGAAUUAAAUGUGAAAAUAGACAUAAAGUAUCCAGUAUAGGGUCUGCCACAGAGUAUGCAUUUGCCUAGCGAGUUGUUCUGCACAUGCAGGGGAAGGACUUAUUUCUACUGAGCCGUGAGACACAGGAACACUUGCGAGGGUGAAAAAACAAGAUGCAGCAGAGAUUGCAGUUGCUUAAUUAAAUUCAUUCCUCCCUUCAUUUUGGAAAGAAGAUUUUUAAGGGCAUCAAUGUGCCAAGUUAAGAUUAUAGUUCCCAGCUCUGCGAGGUCAUGAUGCUACAUUCGAGUCUGUAAGAUGUAGUUAGAAGGUUCUGUGUGGGGCUUCCAGAAAGGCUCUUUCUAAAAUAAGGAUGUGAUGGCUGGAGCUCCAACUACUAUUUUGGCCCAUAAGGCAGAUUUGUGGACGGAAGCGAGGCUGUGCGGAUGACAGAGCCGAACGAGUUUGGCUACCUUCCUCCCACUUUCUUCUAUGACAGAGGGGAAAAGUCCCUCGUGGGUUUAGGAUACUGGAAUCUGGGGGUUUCUGUUACACGCAGGCAAACCCCGUCAGCCACUCUGUAAACUGCUGGGCCUUGCCCUCACCCAGAUUCUGCUCCUCGGAUUUCUCUGAAUCACCUGGGGCCGCGAUGCCGUAAGAGUUGGGCCGCCAGAACCAGGAGAAGCAGGGGGAACAACACAGGAAGCAGGCCGGGAGAGAGGCGGCCAGACGUCUAGUUCAGUCCGCGCUGCUCCAGGGCUCUCCUGGCUCUUCCUCCUUCACUCGUCUCGACCCAGCGGCCGGGGAGCGCGAGGAGCCAGCUCCGCCGCCGUCCUUCUUGGCCCGCGCCGUCCCCUAGCCGUCCUCGCGCCGUUCGCUUCCCCAGGGUCCCCUUUCCGCACCCGCACCAUCCCCUCAGCCUCCCUCACGGUUCCCUCACCGCCCGCGCCUGUUCGAAAAAGCCC
RNAcentral lists this long non-coding RNA (1664 nucleotides) under Macaca fascicularis (crab-eating macaque). Its description in RNAcentral is "lncRNA (ENSMFAG00000061746.1)". The record is from RNAcentral. Lineage: Eukaryota; Metazoa; Chordata; Mammalia; Primates; Cercopithecidae.